Molecule: ribosomal RNA, 469 nt
Filed under: uncultured bacterium
Lineage: Bacteria
Description: bacterial SSU rRNA
Rfam family: Bacterial small subunit ribosomal RNA
Source: RNAcentral
GACGAACGCUGGCGGCGCGCCUAACACAUGCAAGUCGAACGGAGCUGAGAGGAGCUUGCUUUUCUUAGCUUAGUGGCGAACGGGUGAGUAACGCGUGAGUAACCUGCCCUGGAGUGGGGGACAACAGUUGGAAACGACUGCUAAUACCGCAUAAGCCCACGGAUCCGCAUGGAUCUGCGGGAAAAGGAUUUAUUCGCUUCAGGAUGGACUCGCGUCCAAUUAGCUAGUUGGUGAGGUAACGGCCCACCAAGGCGACGAUUGGUAGCCGGACUGAGAGGUUGAACGGCCACAUUGGGACUGAGACACGGCCCAGACUCCUACGGGAGGCAGCAGGUGGGGGAUAUUGCACAAUGGGGGAAACCCUGAUGCAGCGACGCCGCGUGGAGGAAGAAGGUUUUCGGAUUGUAAACCCCUGUCGUUAGGGACGAUAAUGACGGUACCUAACAAGAAAGCACCGGCUAACUACGUG